RNAcentral lists this transfer RNA (74 nucleotides) under Lepisosteus oculatus (spotted gar). It matches the Rfam family "tRNA". From Rfam's summary of the family: Transfer RNA (tRNA) molecules are approximately 80 nucleotides in length. Their secondary structure includes four short double-helical elements and three loops (D, anti-codon, and T loops). Lineage: Eukaryota; Metazoa; Chordata; Actinopteri; Semionotiformes; Lepisosteidae. The record is from Rfam by way of RNAcentral.
GGCACUGUGGCUUAGUUGGUUAAAACACCUGUUUUGUGAACAGGAAGUCCUAGAUCCGAAUCCUAGUGGUGCCU